AAAGAAACUAUAAUCUCUUCUUUCACCUUAUUGAUCUCUUCUUUACAAUAAUUCAGUCAUACCAAUAACUGCUAUUUCUACCAAUAUAUUCACCCUCAUAAUCUCCAAUUAUAAUACUGUGCCUUCACAACUUUCAGCACACAAUUACCCUCAUUCCAAUCACUAGAAUUCUUCACACAGAACUGCCAUUCACAUUAUGGUGUUUCACACAAACACAGACUCAUUCUCUCUACUGAACUACAAUCAGAUUUCAGCAUUCAAUCUUUCUUCUUCUCAAAUAAUACCAAUUACAUUUCCAUUCCAUAAUUCACUUCACAAUAUUCAGAAACUCUCAAUCCUCUUAUUCAAAGAAAAUAACAAAAAAAAGAAAAGAAGUAGCACCAAGCUUAUCCUAGCUCACACUAUCAUAGCGAUGGCCCUCGUCUCAUAACUAUGACAAUUUGGCCCUCGUCUCAUGACUAUCAUUGUCUAGCCCUCGGCUCAUGACUAUCACAGUCUGGUACCCUAAUUAACUUCUACAACUCUUAUAUACUUUUCCCUGAUUUU
RNAcentral lists this long non-coding RNA (546 nucleotides) under Physcomitrium patens. RNAcentral's name for it is "long non-coding RNA (PPAT_LNC001618)". Lineage: Eukaryota; Viridiplantae; Streptophyta; Bryopsida; Funariales; Funariaceae. The record is from RNAcentral.